GCCAGGCAUGGUGGCACAUGCCUGUAGUCUCAGCAACUUGGGAGGCUAGGGCAGGAGGAUCACAAAUUCAAAGCCAGCCUCAGCAAUGGCGAGGUGCUAAGCAACUCAGUGAGAUCCUGUCUCUA
This 125-nucleotide small RNA is filed under the name Marmota monax (woodchuck). Lineage: Eukaryota; Metazoa; Chordata; Mammalia; Rodentia; Sciuridae. The record is from RNAcentral.